AGGUUCCCCCACUGAGAGCUCAGCUGAAAUCACUGAGAGCUGGGUGGAACCUCAAGAGACCAAUUUGCAGAGGUCACAGUGGCAGGUGGCAGCAGAAGGUGAUGGCACAGGGCCAUUGGCAAUGGAGUGAAUGGUGGUACAAUGAACAACAGUGGCCAGAGCAAACAGUGAGCAGCUGGAGGAAUGAGGAAGGUGCCUUCUUGUCCCCCGCCUGGGAGGUGAACACAUAUGAAAGCACCUCUGAACUCUGAGUCUCCAUUGACCAAGGACAACACCGGGGAACCCCCUACACACCAGUGGAGCAGCUCCGCCAGAUAAGGACGCAGCUGAGGAGGAGCAAGGAGAACAUGUUUCGAGAGGUCAGUCUGUCAGCAGCCUCUGAAGGACUUCCCUUCCAAGGUCCCUGAUGAUAAUUAACAAGACAGACAGACAUUGGUAGAUAAAUGGUUUGCAGACAGCAAAAGAUUAAUGAGAGAACUCACUAAAAAUUUCCCACAAAGAUUGUCUUAAAAAUAUGAAGUAAGACAGACUUGCUUCAGGGCCAUUCAGCAGCUCCCAGCAUGGCUGUGGUGUUUCUAGCUGACCUAUCACUCAUGAGGGUGGCAGAGAAGGCAAUGACUCAAGACUGCUUGAGGUUGCUUGGGCUCAUAUGCUGCUGGCCUUUUCAUGCCCAGAGCUCAUUGAAGAGUGGCUUUGGAAGGUGUCCCACCGUAGCAGGAGAUAAAAAAGGCAGCUCUUCCUGGGAAUCUCCAAUCGAAGCGUAAAGAAUACUUGCUUGAAAACUGUCAUUGAGAUUGUGCCAGAGAAUACAAGGGAUGUCCAUGCCAAGAUAAACCUCAAAGGAGAGUGGUCACAGCUGACUAUUUCUGCAAAUCAAUUAAAAAUCAAACUGCCUGAGGCACCAUCUCUACCUCUCUCUAGCUCUGAAUCUGAGCAUAGCAUUAUACUAACUUAUUUUGAACCUGAACUCUCACGCUGGAAAACCAAACUAUGUUUUCUCUGUUUACCUUACAUGUUUACUUUAUAAUUUCAUUCCUAAUAAUCAGAUGGGCUGACUAAGCAAUUACUGUAUUACUUGCACGAUUAUUUUAAAUGUCCUAUGUAUUUUAUUGCAAGGUGUUGAUUUAUGUUGCUAGACUUUCUAUGUGCCUGUUCCGGAAAAAGUAUGCAUUUAGGAAUGAGUUGGGGUGUAUAGUAUCAUAUUUCAAUGUCUGUACUUUGACCCAUCAACCUUUUACUUCCAAUCGGGGAUAUUGCAGAUUAUGUAUUCCUUAUGGCAUCUGAUCUUAAACCAAACU
Mauremys reevesii (Reeves's turtle) is the source of this 1298-nucleotide long non-coding RNA. RefSeq lists it as uncharacterized. The record is from RefSeq and is a predicted model, not a curated record. The transcript has 4 exons. Lineage: Eukaryota; Metazoa; Chordata; Testudines; Geoemydidae.